RNAcentral lists this long non-coding RNA (264 nucleotides) under Mytilus galloprovincialis (Mediterranean mussel). The record is from RNAcentral. Lineage: Eukaryota; Metazoa; Mollusca; Bivalvia; Mytilida; Mytilidae.
AGAUAGAGAUAAACUGUAAACAGCAAUAAUGUUCAGCAAAGUAGGAUCUACAAAUAAGUCACAUGACCAAAAUUGUCAGUUGACCCCUUAAGGAGUUGUUGCCCUUUAUAGUGAUUUUUUAACAAUUUUCAUAAAUUUUUGUAUAUUUUUAGAAAAUAUUUUCCACUGUAAUUACUGGGCCAAGUUCAUUUUAGAUAGAGAUAAUUAUAGCAACAAGAAUGUUCAGUAAAGUAAGAUCUACAAACACAUCACGAUCACCAAAAC